AUUGCGAUUUAUUGCUUGCAAUUCAUUUGAGGUGUUUAAUAUUUGCAAAUGAUAUAAAUUUAUACUAAGCCACUCAUAUUUAGGAAUUAUUAUUUCCUGUGCAUUUGUGCUGCUCAGUGCAAAUUUUGCUAGUUCCAUAAUGGCCGCGGAUCUGAAAGUGAGAAACAUCUGUUAAUAUGUGAAGAAAAGAGCGCGCGAGAAAUCAACCGAAUAUAAAAUCUGUAUAACAACCAGAUCUAAGGAGAUUUUGUCUGCACAGCACCCGAUUCAACCUCGUUCGACAAAUCUGCCUGCGAACACCAAACGAGACUUCAACAAUAUUACACAACGGAACACUUUACGGCUUUGGAAAAGAUCCUGAAGCUCUGCCGGAAGAAUGGGAAGUGACCAAGCAGGGGCAUGUACUAUGAGCGACCAAACGAGGCAUUGCGGUUCAACUUUGGGAUCGAAUAGCAAGAGUUAUUGAUGAUCUUGAUUGUGAUGCAAUUGAAUAAUAUGCUGUAUUUAUGGUAGACAUGUGGAUAAAAUAAACAGAAUAACGGUUUUGUUGCUCAA
Molecule: long non-coding RNA, 555 nt
Organism: Aedes aegypti (yellow fever mosquito)
Lineage: Eukaryota; Metazoa; Arthropoda; Insecta; Diptera; Culicidae
Exons: 2
Source: RefSeq, a predicted model, not a curated record